CCUACGGUGAGCAGCAGUGGGGAAUAUUGCACAAUGGGGGAAACCCUGAUGCAGCGACGCCGCGUGAGUGAAGAAGUAUCUCGGUAUGUAAAGCCCUAUCAGCAGGGAAUAAAAUGACGGUAACUGACUAAGAAGCUACGGCUAACUACGUGCCAUCAGCCGCGGUAAUACGAAGGGGGCAAGCGUUAUCCGGAUUUGUGGGGUGUAAAGGGAGCGUAGGCGGCGAUGCAAGUCGGGUGUGAAAUCCAAUUGCUUAACCGUGGUACUGCUCUGGAAACUGUGGGGCUUGAGGGCGGGAGUGGCAGGCGGAAUUCCUAGUGUAGCGGUGAGAUGCGUAGAUAUUAGGAGGAACACCGGCGGCGAAGGCGGCCUGCUGGACCGUAACUGACGUUGAGGCUCGAAAGCGUGGGGAGCAAACAGGAUUAGAUACCCGUGUAGUC
This 440-nucleotide ribosomal RNA is filed under the name uncultured bacterium. Its description in RNAcentral is "partial 16S ribosomal RNA". It matches the Rfam family "Bacterial small subunit ribosomal RNA", at positions 338 to 795 of the family's 1533-position model. The record is from RNAcentral.